This 497-nucleotide ribosomal RNA is filed under the name uncultured bacterium. Its description in RNAcentral is "partial 16S ribosomal RNA". It matches the Rfam family "Bacterial small subunit ribosomal RNA", at positions 28 to 507 of the family's 1533-position model. The record is from RNAcentral.
GAUGAACGCUGGCGGCGUGCCUAACACAUGCAAGUCGAACGAACAGACUAGGAGCUUGCGCCUCUGACGUAAGCUGCGGACGGGGGAGUAACACGUGGAUUACCCACCUAUAAAACUGGGAUAACUUCGGGAAACCGGAGAUAAUACUGCAUAAUAUAUUGAACCGCAUGAGUCAAUAGUGAUAGACGGUGUUCCUGUCUCUUAUAGACGGAUCCGCGCCGCUUUCUCUGGUUGGUAAGGUAACGGCUUACCAAGGCAACGAUGCGUAGCCGACCUGAGAGGGUGCUAGGCCACACUGGAAGUGAGACAGCGUCCAGACUCCUACGGGAGGCAACAGUCGGGAACCUUCAGCAAUGGGCGCAAGCCUGCCGCAGCACCGCCGCGUGAGUCAUGAAGGUGUUCGGAUCGUAAAACUCUGUUAUUGGGGAAGAACAAAUGUCUCAGUAGAUAUGCCCGUCUUGACGGUACCUAAUCAAAAAGCCACGGCUAACUACGUG